This 253-nucleotide ribosomal RNA is filed under the name uncultured prokaryote. RNAcentral describes it as "partial 16S ribosomal RNA". It matches the Rfam family "Bacterial small subunit ribosomal RNA", at positions 525 to 777 of the family's 1533-position model. The record is from RNAcentral.
ACGUAGGCAGCGAGCGUUGUUCGGAGUUACUGGGCGUAAAGCGUGCGUAGGCGGUGUUCCAAGUCUGUUGUGAAAUCUCCCGGCUUAACCGGGAGGGUGCGGCGGAAACUGGGAUGCUGGAGUGCCGGAGAGGUAAGCGGAAUUCCUGGUGUAGCGGUGAAAUGCGUAGAUAUCAGGAGGAACACCUGCGGUGUAGACGGCUUACUGGACGGUAACCGACGCUGAGGCACGAAAGCGUGGGGAGCAAACAGGA